ACUCAAAGGAAUUGACGGGGGCCCGCACAAGCGGUGGAUGAUGUGGAUUAAUUCGAUGCAACGCGAAGAACCUUACCUACCCUUGACAUGCCUCGAACCCUGAAGAGAUUUGGGGGUGCCCGAAAGGGAGCGAGGACACAGGUGCUGCAUGGCUGUCGUCAGCUCGUGUCGUGAGAUGUUGGGUUAAGUCCCGCAACGAGCGCAACCCUUGCCACUAGUUGCCAUCAUUUAGUUGGGCACUUUAGUGGGACUGCCGGUGACAAACCGGAGGAAGGUGGGGAUGACGUCAAGUCCUCAUGGCCCUUAUGGGUAGGGCUUCACACGUCAUACAAUGGUCGGUACAGAGGGUUGCCAAGCCGCGAGGUGGAGCUAAUCUCAGAAAGCCGAUCGUAGUCCGGAUUGCAGUCUGCAACUCGACUGCAUGAAGUCGGAAUCGCUAGUAAUCGCGGAUCAGCAUGUCGCGGUGAAUACGUUCCCGGGCCUUGCACACACCGCCCGU
RNAcentral lists this ribosomal RNA (499 nucleotides) under uncultured bacterium. RNAcentral's name for it is "partial 16S ribosomal RNA". It matches the Rfam family "Bacterial small subunit ribosomal RNA", at positions 899 to 1397 of the family's 1533-position model. The record is from RNAcentral.